Molecule: long non-coding RNA, 925 nt
Filed under: Homo sapiens (human)
Lineage: Eukaryota; Metazoa; Chordata; Mammalia; Primates; Hominidae
Description: novel transcript
Source: RNAcentral
GCCCAUUCAGAUCCUGUCCCAAUGCCCACCUGUGGUAACACCUUCCUUUCUCUCAACCUGGCCUUUCUCACCCACAAGGUGGGAAUGGUGAUUUCCACCUCUCGGGAGAAGAGAGAAUGGGCCCGGAUCUGAGGGGCAUUAACAGGGGAGCAGAGUCUUACUGUGUCAAAUUCUAUCUUGUCCGUGACCUUUGGCGGGCUAUGUGCUGGCACGGAGAGGAAGUUGGAGCGAGGUGUCUGGACCAUGGCGAGGAAAUGGAUCAAUUCUUGCCCUCGUGUUCACUGAAUGAAGUAACUUACAGCCCCAGCUUUGCAGCCAGACAGAGCCCUGGGCAAGUUACCCUGGCCUCGGAGCCCCCACACCUGACACCCCACGUGUUCUCAGCUGUAACGUGGGUUGCAGACACCCGUGUUGCCAAUGUUAUUACCAUGAUUGUUGUUUUCUUCCACUGGCAGAUGCACAGGAAAUGGCUCUCUCUGCUGAACUGAGCACCUCUGGGGCUCCUUCCUGGCCUGGGGUUUCUUUGAGACAGGCCCAGGAGAGUGACAGCCGGGCCUGAGAGGGAAGGACAGGCUGUGACUCACAAAGGUGCAGGAGUCCUCUCCCCGGGUUCACCGGGAGCUGACGGGCUAGGCCGUGGGAGGCCUUGAGACCAAGCUCCGACUUUGGAGAUGGGCCAGGCUUGGCUGGGCGCCUCCAGUGGUUUUGAACAGGGGGCGCCAUGAGUUAACUGGUGCUUUCAGAAAGCUAAACCUGGCAGCAAGUGGCUUCUUCAGAGAAGGGACUCACCCAACAUCAGAAUGUUUACCAAAAUCAAUCACGCGGUGGGCCAUAGAGAAAGUCUCCUUACACUGCAAAGAAUCUGUGUGGUUAUACCGUGUCUGCGAUCACAGUGAAAUACAACUAGAUAUUAAAAGCAAAAGAA